UCGGGAAUAUUGCGCAAUGGAGGAAACUCUGACGCAGUGACGCCGCGUGCAGGAAGAAGGUUUUCGGAUUGUAAACUGCUUUAGACAGGGAAGAAACUAGACAGUACCUGUAAAAUAAGCUCCGGCUAACUACGUGCCAGCAGCCGCGGUAAUACGUAGGGAGCAAGCGUUAUCCGGAUUUAUUGGGUGUAAAGGGUGCGUAGACGGGAAGACAAGUUGGUUGUGAAAUCCCUCGGCUUAACCGAGGAACUGCAACCAAAACUAUCUUUCUUGAGUGUUGGAGAGGAAAGUGGAAUUCCUAGUGUAGCGGUGAAAUGCGUAGAUAUUAGGAGGAACACCAGUGGCGAAGGCGACUUUCUGGACAAUAACUGACGUUGAUGCACGAAAGUGUGGGGAGCAAACAGGAUUAGAUACCC
This 416-nucleotide ribosomal RNA is filed under the name uncultured bacterium. RNAcentral describes it as "bacterial SSU rRNA". It matches the Rfam family "Bacterial small subunit ribosomal RNA", at positions 355 to 787 of the family's 1533-position model. The record is from RNAcentral.